RNAcentral lists this long non-coding RNA (204 nucleotides) under Lathyrus oleraceus (garden pea). RNAcentral's name for it is "Pisum sativum (pea) long non-coding RNA (PSAT_LNC034049)". The record is from RNAcentral. Lineage: Eukaryota; Viridiplantae; Streptophyta; Magnoliopsida; Fabales; Fabaceae.
AACCGGUUCAAAUAAGCAUCGUUAAUCACACUAGUGAUAGAGAAAUGUACUUCCUCCGGAAUGGCAACAUUCGCCCGUCGGCAAAGUCCCAUGAUCAGCCUCGGGUAUGCAAGCACACCUGCCUUACCACCAAAUUUUGUUCCGCUUAUAGCCAUCUUGCGCAUUUCCCCUGCUAUGAUUGAUGCUACAUCCACAGAUUUUCUG